ACGGGUGGCGCAAUGGGAUCAG
This 22-nucleotide microRNA is filed under the name Macaca mulatta (Rhesus monkey). RNAcentral's name for it is "mml-miR-3151". Lineage: Eukaryota; Metazoa; Chordata; Mammalia; Primates; Cercopithecidae. The record is from miRBase by way of RNAcentral.